ACCUCCCAUAGUUCAUCCUCCAACUUCAAUCUUUACUUCAAAGUUUGAUAUUUGACUUUUCGAUUAUUCUCUAGAUUAUAUUUUUUUAUUGAAUGAGUAGGAUAAAUGUCUACUCGAAAAGUAAGAUAUAUAAAUUUUAAUAUAUAUUUAAAUAUAUUUAUUUUACUUCCAUGUACAAUCCCAUAUGGCCAUAUGCUAGCUAGUGUGUAUAUGUUUCUGCUUCGGCUCCUUCCUCUAAUGGUUCGAA
This 247-nucleotide long non-coding RNA is filed under the name Elaeis guineensis (African oil palm). Its description in RNAcentral is "long non-coding RNA (EGUI_LNC004684)". Lineage: Eukaryota; Viridiplantae; Streptophyta; Magnoliopsida; Arecales; Arecaceae. The record is from RNAcentral.